UACGAAGGGGGCUAGCGUUGCUCGGAAUCACUGGGCGUAAAGGGCGCGUAGGCGGCUUUAUAAGUCGGGGGUGAAAGCCUGUGGCUCAACCACAGAAGUGCCUUCGAUACUGUAGAGCUUGAGACCGGAAGAGGUAAGUGGAACUGCGAGUGUAGAGGUGAAAUUCGUAGAUAUUCGCAAGAACACCAGUGGCGAAGGCGGCUUACUGGUCCGGUUCUGACGCUGAGGCGCGAAAGCGUGGGGAGCAAACAGG
This 253-nucleotide ribosomal RNA is filed under the name uncultured bacterium. RNAcentral describes it as "partial 16S ribosomal RNA". It matches the Rfam family "Bacterial small subunit ribosomal RNA", at positions 524 to 776 of the family's 1533-position model. The record is from RNAcentral.